AGCAGAUUAAAACUACAUAACAACUUGUUUGCUUCAACCAUGGCAUUGAGAUUUGAUUAAUAAAGUUGCAUCAUUUGGCUUUUGGUAUUGAUUGGAUAAACCUUCAAAUUCUUUAUCUUCCACAAACACCUCAAACAUAGCACCACAACCUCCAGAUACAUCUACAACGUUGACGCUUGCCUAUAAGAGAAAUCUGCCAAUUAAUAACUGGUGUAUUUGCUGCUGGGCGUUGUUUUGUUGAACUGACGAUAAAAAUCGUGUUAAAAUCGAGAGUUGGUUGUCUGUUAUUUGCAUCUGUUUGACAAAAGGCUUACGAGUGAUGUGAAAAUCUAAAUGCUUAAUGUGUGUACAUAUGUAUACAUUGUACAUUACAGUAUUAUGUAGUAUACCAUAGUACAGUGUACUAUCUACUGUUAUGGAAUAAAUCACUUCGAAAAGAACUUA
Bactrocera latifrons is the source of this 444-nucleotide long non-coding RNA. RefSeq lists it as uncharacterized. The transcript has 4 exons. The record is from RefSeq and is a predicted model, not a curated record. Lineage: Eukaryota; Metazoa; Arthropoda; Insecta; Diptera; Tephritidae.